RNAcentral lists this ribosomal RNA (497 nucleotides) under uncultured bacterium. Its description in RNAcentral is "partial 16S ribosomal RNA". It matches the Rfam family "Bacterial small subunit ribosomal RNA", at positions 28 to 507 of the family's 1533-position model. The record is from RNAcentral.
GACGAACGCUGGCGGCGUGCCUAAUACAUGCAAGUCGAGCGAUGAAGAUUGGUGCUUGCACCAAUUUGAAGAGCAGCGAACGGGUGAGUAACGCGUGGGGAAUCUGCCUUUGAGCGGGGGACAACAUUUGGAAACGAAUGCUAAUACCGCAUAACAACUUUAAACAUAAGUUUUAAGUUUGAAAGAUGCAAUUGCAUCACUCAAAGAUGAUCCCGCGUUGUAUUAGCUAGUUGGUGAGGUAAAGGCUCACCAAGGCGAUGAUACAUAGCCGACCUGAGAGGGUGGUCGGCCACAUUGGGACUUGGACACGGCCCAAACUCCUACGGGAGGCAGCAGGAGGGAAUCUUCGGCAAUUGACGGAAGUCUGAACGAGCAACGCCGCGGGGGUGAAGAAGGGUUUCGGAUCGUAAAACUCUGUUGGUAGAGAAGAACGUUGGUGGGAGUGGAAAGCUCAUCAAGUGACGGUACCUACUCAGAAAGGGACGGCUAACUACGUG